CCUACGGGAUGCUGCAGUGGGGAAUAUUGCGCAAUGGGCGAAAGCCUGACGCAGCGACUCCGCGUGAGGGAUGAAGGUCUUCGGAUCGUAAACCUCUGUCAGCAGGGCAGAACGGUCACUGUGCUAAUCAGCAGUGACUUGACGGUACCUGCAAAGGAAGCACCGGCUAACUCCGUGCCAGCAGCCGCGGUAAUACGGAGGGUGCGAGCGUUAAUCGGAAUUACUGGGCGUAAAGCGCUCGUAGGCGGUAUGUCAAGUCAAUGGUGAAAUCCCCGCGCUCAACGUGGGAACUGCCUUUGAAACAGGCAAACUGGAGUGUGUGAGAGGAUAGUGGAAGUCCAGGUGUAGGAGUGAAAUCCGUAGAUAUCUGGAGGAACAUCAGUGGCGAAGGCGACUAUCUGGCACAUAACUGACGCUGAGGAGCGAAAGCGUGGGUAGCAAACAGGAUUAGAUACCCUAGUAGUC
This 465-nucleotide ribosomal RNA is filed under the name uncultured bacterium. RNAcentral describes it as "partial 16S ribosomal RNA". It matches the Rfam family "Bacterial small subunit ribosomal RNA", at positions 338 to 795 of the family's 1533-position model. The record is from RNAcentral.